Molecule: ribosomal RNA, 427 nt
Filed under: uncultured bacterium
Lineage: Bacteria
Description: partial 16S ribosomal RNA
Rfam family: Bacterial small subunit ribosomal RNA
Source: RNAcentral
GUGGGGAAUAUUGCGCAAUGGGGGAAACCCUGACCCAGCGACGCCGCGUGAGGGAAGACGGCCUUCGGGUUGUAAACCUCUUUUGUACGGGAAGAAGGAAGUGACGGUACUGUACGAAUAAGUCCCGGCUAACUACGUGCCAGCAGCCGCGGUAAUACGUAGGGGACGAGCGUUGUCCGGAAUUACUGGGCGUAAAGGGCGCGUAGGCGGUCAUUUAAGUCAGCUGUGAAAUGGUCCGGCUCAACCGGAUCAUGCGGUUGAAACUGGAGGACUGGAGUGCUGGAGAGGCAAGUGGAAUUCCCAGUGUAGCAGUGAAAUGCGUAGAUAUUGGGAAGAACACCGGUGGCGAAGGCGACUUGCUGGCCAGCAACUGACGCUGAGGCGCGAAAGCCAGGGGAGCAAACGGGAUUAGAAACCCGAGUAGUCC